This is a microRNA precursor of Pelodiscus sinensis (Chinese soft-shelled turtle), 85 nucleotides long. Ensembl annotates it as microRNA 208a. Its record names the gene MIR208A. Lineage: Eukaryota; Metazoa; Chordata; Testudines; Trionychidae. The record is from Ensembl.
UCCUCCAACGGGGAAGCUUUUGGCUCUGGUUAUAUUUCCACUCGCAGCGUAUAAGACGAGCGAAAAGCUUGUCGGUUGGCGGGGA